GGGGCGCUGGUCGCAAGAUCAGCCGCAGUGAAAAGGCCCAAGCAACUGUUUAUCAAAAACACAGGCAUCUGCAAAAUCGUAAGAUGAAGUAUAGGUGCUGACACCUGCCCGGUGCUGGAAGGUUAAGAGGAGAGCUUAGCGCAAGCGAAGGUUUGAAUUG
RNAcentral lists this ribosomal RNA (160 nucleotides) under Lactobacillus delbrueckii subsp. bulgaricus. RNAcentral describes it as "partial 23S ribosomal RNA". It matches the Rfam family "Bacterial large subunit ribosomal RNA", at positions 1745 to 1914 of the family's 2925-position model. Lineage: Bacteria; Bacillati; Bacillota; Bacilli; Lactobacillales; Lactobacillaceae. The record is from RNAcentral.